RNAcentral lists this ribosomal RNA (585 nucleotides) under uncultured archaeon. Its description in RNAcentral is "bacterial SSU rRNA". It matches the Rfam family "Archaeal small subunit ribosomal RNA", at positions 43 to 628 of the family's 1478-position model. The record is from RNAcentral.
AAUCAUAGCAGCGAGUCGUGAGGGUUCGGCCCUCGGCGAACGGCUCAGUAACACGUAGAUAAUUUGCCCUUAGGUGGAGGAUACCCUCGGGAAACUGAGAAUAAUACUCCAUGAGAUUUAGAAUGCUGGAAUGCUUUUAAAUUGAAAGAUUUAUCGCCUAAGGAUAAGUCUGCGGACUAUCAGGUCGUAGUUAGGGUAAAUACCUGACUAGCCUACGACGGAUACGGGUUGUGAGAGCACUAGCCCGGAGAUGAUAUCUGAGACACGAUAUCAGGCCCUACGGGGCGCAGCAGGCGCGAAAACUUCGCACUGUGCGAAAGCACGACGAGGGAAUCCCAAGUGCUGGCUCGUAAGAGUCAGCUGUUUCUUUGUCUAAAAAACAGAGAGAGUAAGAGCUGGGUAAGACGGGUGCCAGCCGCCGCGGUAAUACCUGCAGCUCAACGUGGUGGCCCGCUAUUAUUGGGCCUAAAACGUCCGUAGCCGGUUCUAUAAAUGCCUGGGGUAAAUCCGUACGGCUUAACCGUAACGACUUUCCCGGGGUAGACCUGUUCAACUUGGGGACCCGGGAGGAGGGCUAAGAGGUUA